RNAcentral lists this ribosomal RNA (401 nucleotides) under uncultured bacterium. Its description in RNAcentral is "bacterial SSU rRNA". It matches the Rfam family "Bacterial small subunit ribosomal RNA", at positions 362 to 757 of the family's 1533-position model. The record is from RNAcentral.
UUUUGGACAAUGGGGGCAACCCUGAUCCGGCAAUGCCGCGUGAGUGAAGAAGGCCUUCGGGUUGUAAAGCUCUUUUGUCAGGGAAGAAACAGCAGCUCUAACACAGCUGUGAAUGACGGUACCUAAAGAAUAAGCACCGGCUAACUACGUGCCAGCAGCCGCGGUAAUACGUAGGGUGCAAGCGUUAAUCGGAAUUACUGGGCGUAAAGCGUGCGCAGGCGGUUAUACAAGACAGGCGUGAAAUCCCCGGGCUUAACCUGGGAAUUGCGUCUGUGACUGUAUGGCUAGAGUGUGUCAGAGGGGGGUAGAAUUCCACGUGUAGCAGUGAAAUGCGUAGAUAUGUGGAGGAAUACCAAUGGCGAAGGCAGCCCCCUGGGAUAACACUGACGCUCAUGCACGAA